Molecule: non-coding RNA, 110 nt
Organism: Acanthosepion pharaonis
Lineage: Eukaryota; Metazoa; Mollusca; Cephalopoda; Sepiida; Sepiidae
Source: the annotation of a GenBank genome assembly
GCCAAAUCACGUUGAAAAACCGGUUCCCGUACGAUCACCGAAGAUAAGCAACAUUGAGUCUGGUUAGUAUCUAGGGUGGGUCACCGCUUGGGAAUACCAUGUACUGUAAG